Molecule: ribosomal RNA, 377 nt
Filed under: Limnonectes cf. kuhlii JF-2021
Lineage: Eukaryota; Metazoa; Chordata; Amphibia; Anura; Dicroglossidae
Description: partial 12S small subunit ribosomal RNA
Rfam family: Bacterial small subunit ribosomal RNA
Source: RNAcentral
UCGAUAACCCCCGAUAUAUCUAACCCCAUUUUGCAAAUCAGCCUGUAUACCUCCGUCGUAAGCUUACCAUAUGAAUGCUAACAGUAAGUUUAAUGGUCUCAACACCAACACGUCAGGUCAAGGUGCAGCUUAUGAUGGGGCAAGCAAUGGGCUACAGUUUCUAAAAUAGAAUACACGAAAUGCUGCAUGAAACACAGCAUGAAGGUGGAUUUAGUAGUAAAAAUGAAAUAACGUGUCCUUUUUAACAAGGCCCUGGGACGUGUACACACCGCCCGUCACCCUCUUCAACAGUUUUUAACAUGUCUAUUACAACUCAACACACCCUAGAAGAGGCAAGUCGUAACAUGGUAAGUGUACCGGAAGGUGCACUUGGACUA